AGAUGAUCACAUCUGUCUUUGUCAUUUAAAUGAGGUGGACUUGCAAACUUUGCGCUCUUUUGGAUUUCAAGACAGAGCUUAUUGUUCUCUGAACUUCCUUGUUUGCUGAAUGGCAGGUUGAAGCAGAAUUUGCCCGUCUUACAUCUGUUGACCUGAAAGGGUUCCUUUUUGCUGUGCUUGACCAUUAUGGAGAGGUUCGUGGAGCUGUACAAAAUCAAGAGCGGCAUAGGAGGGCUAACUAGGCUCAUAAGAUGCUUCAAUGAUGAUAGCCCUACACAAAGGAAGAGGACAGAGGACCUCAUUUUCUAAAGGAAGAUCCCUCACACACUUUCAAGACUGUGAAGCCGACAGGUAUUGAAGACACGUUUUCUAAGAGGAUGAAAGUUGGCAUUGCGAUGGUGAAAGAAGAAGACAUCAUCGAUGUGUUGGUUGUCCUUGAGGCGGCAGUAAUCCUGUCUAAUCUGAGGAAUGUCUCAAGUGCCAUUUCC
Molecule: long non-coding RNA, 488 nt
Organism: Oreochromis aureus
Lineage: Eukaryota; Metazoa; Chordata; Actinopteri; Cichliformes; Cichlidae
Source: Ensembl